UAUCUUUCACAAUGAUGGUUGUACUGGUU
RNAcentral lists this non-coding RNA (29 nucleotides) under Rattus norvegicus (Norway rat). The record is from RNAcentral. Lineage: Eukaryota; Metazoa; Chordata; Mammalia; Rodentia; Muridae.